This 1815-nucleotide long non-coding RNA is filed under the name Triticum aestivum (bread wheat). Its description in RNAcentral is "long non-coding RNA (TAES_LNC007432)". Lineage: Eukaryota; Viridiplantae; Streptophyta; Magnoliopsida; Poales; Poaceae. The record is from RNAcentral.
AUAAAUAUUACAUGAAGAAGCCAACCUUCAGCUUCUUCCCCAAAAUUCACUUGACCAUAGCUUGAAGUUGACAUUGUGAUAAAGGAAACUUGGGCAUGCAAGUUAACACGAGCACAUCCACUCAAGAAAUAUUUAUCAUGCAAUAAUUACUCUGGUCAACUCACAGAUUUCAGAUGAGAAUGAGAUUUUCUCUCCAAGCCACUGCAGCUAUACGGUAUAAAUAAUAUCAAAUUGAUAUCAAUAUAUCCACCGUCAGAUAUUUCAUAGUGUAUUUAUUAAAUAUUGUACUAGUUAUUAAUAGUUUCUUCCAUAUAUUUGGUCAAACUUAGAAAUAGUUAACUUUUUAACUGAAUUUAUAAGCCAUCUAUUUAGAGAUGGAGGGAAUAUUGCAUUUUCGAGUCCAUGUACAUGCUGCCAACAAAAGUAGUUCACACCGAAACAACCAUAUGAUAAAUAAGCCUACAGCCUACUGAAUGUCUGUUUAAUUACUAGUGCAGGUUCUUGUAUGAUACGAGCUCGAUGAUCUACAUUGUUCCAUGCCAAGCACAUGCCUACCAAUAUCAUCAGCAAGUGUUGGUCCCCCCUUAUCCAACCGUCAGCAGGUGUUGGUCUCGACAAACUAUAGUUUCUUGAUUUUAUUACAUUAGCACCAUCCCUUUUUGGAAACAAUAAAACAUUGGUGUGAUCUUAUUUUAUACAAGCUCGAUCAUCUCCACUGUUCCAUGCUGAACACUGCCUAUUUAUAGCAUCAGCAAGUGUUGGUCCCCCAAAGCAUCAGCAAGUGUUAGUCUCCCCAAACUACAGAUUCUUGAUUUUAUUACAUUCGCACCAUCCCCUUUUGGAAAUAAUAAACAUGCACGUAGUUCUUAUUUUAUACGAGCUCGACCAUCUCCACUGUUCCAUGCUGAAUACAUGCCUAUCAAUAGCAUCAGCAAGGGUUGCUUCCCCAAACUACAAAGUAAUGCAUUCAAGGUAUUUCUUGCCAUUACAGUAGCAUCAGCAAGGGCUGCUUCAUAUGGUUUCUCUUGCAGUCUACUAGUAGCAUCAGCAUGAUAAGUGCUCUUCUAAUAAAUAAUUUCACACUUUUUGGCACGUUUUCGAGCAAAAAACAAGUAAUACCAACACAUAAAAGUGAAAGGGCUGACAAGAGAAAUCAGGUACCUCAAUCUGGUGCACCUUCCCUCCUUGACCACAGGAGCAAACAACAGCUUUGUGUUUUCAAGUUCACGCAUAUCCUGCCAACAUGAAGAACUCGCACAGAAAGCUGGUAUACAUUAGUUCACUAGACAUCCAAAUAACAAUGAUGCAAAGUAGUUGUUAUUUCUUAAGACAUUCAGUUACUAGUGCAAGGUCUUAUUUGGUAUGUGCUCAAUGAUAUCCACUGUUAGAUACUGAAUAAGGGCAGCCCCUCCUCCCCAAAGGACAAAUUCUUAUAUUUGCACCACCCCCUUCUGGAAACAAUAAAUAUUGAAGCAGGCACUGGUCCACUCUUUGCAAGAUUGAUAUACAUAGAUAUUACAUGAAGAAGCCAACCUUCAGCUUCUUCCCCAAAAUUCACUUGACCAUAGCUUGUAGUUGACAUUGUGAUAAAGGAAACUUGGGCAUGCAAGUUAACACAAGCACAUCCACUCAAGAAAUACUUAUCACACAAUAAUUACUCUGGUCAACUCACAGAUUUCAGAUGAGAAUGAGAUUUUCUCUCCGAGCCACUGCAGGUAUCCGGUAUACACUUCCUAUUAACAGACACUGAUACACUACCAGCUCCCGGCUUUGCUGAGGCUGUAUCCUCUUGACAGUAACAUUACACCAACUCAA